AGCAGAAGCAUUACCACCUUGUAACUCAAUCUUGUCAAGUCUCAGAAGCUAAGCAAGGCUGCGUCUGGUCUGUACUAGAAUGGGAGACCUCCAAGGAAAUCAGGUCGCUUCUGCUC
RNAcentral lists this ribosomal RNA (116 nucleotides) under Lepisosteus oculatus (spotted gar). Lineage: Eukaryota; Metazoa; Chordata; Actinopteri; Semionotiformes; Lepisosteidae. The record is from RNAcentral.